This 445-nucleotide ribosomal RNA is filed under the name uncultured bacterium. RNAcentral describes it as "partial 16S ribosomal RNA". It matches the Rfam family "Bacterial small subunit ribosomal RNA", at positions 354 to 796 of the family's 1533-position model. The record is from RNAcentral.
GUAAGGAAUAUUGGACAAUGGACGCAAGUCUGAUCCAGCCAUGCCGCGUGAAGGAUUAAGGUCCUCUGGAUUGUAAACUUCUUUUAUAAGGGACGAAAAAAGGCUUUUCUAAGUCGUCUGACGGUACCUUAUGAAUAAGCACCGGCUAACUCCGUGCCAGCAGCCGCGGUAAUACGGAGGGUGCAAGCGUUAUCCGGAUUCACUGGGUUUAAAGGGUGCGUAGGCGGGCAGGUAAGUCAGUGGUGAAAUCCUAGAGCUUAACUCUAGAACUGCCAUUGAUACUAUCUGUCUUGAAUAUUGUGGAGGUAAGCGGAAUAUGUCAUGUAGCGGUGAAAUGCUUAGAUAUGACAUAGAACACCUAUUGCGAAGGCAGCUUACUACGCAUAUAUUGACGCUGAGGCACGAAAGCGUGGGGAUCAAACAGGAUUAGAUACCCCGGUAGUCA